UCGCGGCCUAUCAGCUUGUUGGUGAGGUAAAGGCUCACCAAGGCGACGACGGGUAGCCGGCCUGAGAGGGUGACCGGCCACACUGGGACUGAGACACGGCCCAGACUCCUACGGGAGGCAGCAGUGGGGAAUAUUGCACAAUGGGCGCAAGCCUGAUGCAGCAACGCCGCGUGGGGGAUGACGGCCUUCGGGUUGUAAACCUCUUUUAGCAGGGAAGAAGCGAAAGUGACGGUACCUGCAGAAAAAGCACCGGCUAACUACGUGCCAGCAGCCGCGGUAAUACGUAGGGUGCAAGCGUUGUCCGGAAUUAUUGGGCGUAAAGAGCUCGUAGGCGGUUGGUCGCGUCUGCUGUGAAAACCCGAGGCUCAACCUCGGGCCUGCAGUGGGUACGGGCCAACUAGAGUGCGGUAGGGGAGAUCGGAAUUCCUGGUGUAGCGGUGGAAUGCGCAGAUAUCAGGAGGAACACCAAUGGCGAAGGCAGAUCUCUGGGCCGUAACUGACGCUGAGGAGCGAAAGCGUGGGGAGCGAACAGGAUUAGAUACCCUGGUAGUCCACGCCGUAAACGGUGGGAACUAGUUGUAGGGGCCAUUCCACGGCUUCUGUGACGAAGCUAACGCAUUAAGUUCCCCGCCUGGGGAGUACGG
RNAcentral lists this ribosomal RNA (644 nucleotides) under uncultured bacterium. RNAcentral describes it as "bacterial SSU rRNA". It matches the Rfam family "Bacterial small subunit ribosomal RNA", at positions 231 to 885 of the family's 1533-position model. The record is from RNAcentral.